Molecule: small nuclear RNA, 107 nt
Filed under: Microcebus murinus (gray mouse lemur)
Lineage: Eukaryota; Metazoa; Chordata; Mammalia; Primates; Cheirogaleidae
Source: RNAcentral
GUGCUUGCUUUGGCAGCACAUAUACUGAAACUGGAAUGAUACAGAGAAGAAUAGCAUGGUUCUUGCCCAAGGAUGACAUGUAAAUUUGUAAGCAUUCUCUAUUUUUC